This is a long non-coding RNA of Passer domesticus (house sparrow), 2711 nucleotides long. RefSeq lists it as uncharacterized. Lineage: Eukaryota; Metazoa; Chordata; Aves; Passeriformes; Passeridae. The record is from RefSeq and is a predicted model, not a curated record. The transcript has 3 exons.
UCUCGCCCUUCCCAAGAGAAAAACCCCCAGGUAGUAGAGUUUUUCUACCCCAGAUGGUAGAGUAGCCAGGUCCACCCUUCCUCCACCUUGGCCAUUUCUUUUGUAUCUCUUAAGUACCGGUCCUUAUCGCUUAGCAACCGAUGGGACAAAACUCCAUGUGAGAAAAAAAAAAAAAAGAAAAAUCCUAGCCACCAGCAACAAAUAUAAAAAUCAGGUCCUUCUAAAAAAUGCUUCUUAAAAAAGCAUCUAAAGAUGCUUGCAUCAAGAAACUGGAGAAUAAAGGCUCUUCUCUAGCAGUACAAGAGGACACAGUUUGGGAAUAAGACUCCGGGUGACACAAGAACUUUGUGGGAAACUGCCAGAUUGAGACUUGUUACAGGCCAAGGUAACUCAUCAUAAUCUUUUCUCUCACUCUUUUUGUACAAGAUACACUACUAGCUCCAGAGCACCUCAUUGAUGAAUCCAUGAAUCUAGUUCUGGUGCCUGAUCAGCUCCAGCUCAUGGUACCACUCUUCUGCAUGUACACAUGUAAUACCCCAGUGAAAGGACACAGCCUGGAAGUGCACAAAACUCUGGCGAGAAACAAAACAUUACUUAAGUCGUGACAUUCAAGGAUAACUGGCAGUCCUGCCACCCUGAACACGUCACCUGAAACUAAGGAAGUGUGCAAGCAGAGAUAAGGAAAAAAGUUAACAAUUAGGGGGUUAAGCACCAGAACAGAUCUUCCUGAGAGACUGUGCAAUCUUCAUCCUGGAAAAUUUGCAGGCGCUGGCCUACAAUCCCAGACAACCUACUGCUCUGAGCACUUAUAGGAAGGUGCUGCUCUCCUGGAUCACCUGUGGAACCUGUUUUUACACUGCGUGAGGCCCAGCCCAGCUCCUCCAAGGAAUGGAAGAUGGAUGACUGCUUCUGUUCCAGUGGGUCCUAAUGACUUCCACCACAGACAGUGUCUUUGUUAUAGAGGUGCUACAUGAAGCAGAUAUAUUUUUUUUAAUGAGCUCAUUGUAGGCAGAGGCUGAAUUCCACCUCGAUUGCAAGGCUCUUCAGUCCACGUACUGUCUUCAGCAAGACAGCAUGCUCACCUGUUCUCAGCCCAUAAAUUACCAUCUCUCUCAUUCUGCCUAAGAAAGAAGGGGGACACAUCCCUCUUUGUGUGCCCAGCUGGGAUUACAGACUCUGGCAGCAAAGCUGGAGAGGACAAAGCUUGGCUAGAGAGACAUUCCUCCAGUGCAGGGAUUGAAACGGGUAGAUGUUCCCUGCUUAAGGGAGAAGGCCACAAGAACUGUUUCACCCACACAACAGCUGCCACCUCAUCACACAACCAGGAAGGCACAAGAUCCUCCUUUAUAGAAACAGCAGAGGGAUGAGAAGGGAACAAACGAAAACACUUCCCACUCUCCGCCACAUGCGUGGUCAGUGUAAAAGACGCUCACUGGUCUAUCCUGUUGCCCGGGGAGAAGUUUGAUUCAUAAAAUCAGAUAAUUAAAUGUUCUUCAUCACAACUGGCUGCAUCAUUUUGAACCUCUUCCAUUGUUCUUUUCCUCGUCAGCCCCCACCGUUUUUCCAGUAUCUAGAAUCUGGAAAAAGCCGAAAGCCUUUCAUCUUAUCAGGUGUGGUUUAUUGCCCCCUGGUUACACAGUAAUUUUGGUCUCCACUCCAUGAAAAGGUCAUAUGAUGGGAUAUCAGCUCAAGAAUUGUCAGUUCGCUGGACAAAUAAGGCAGGGACUGCCAAUACAAUUAUAAGAGCCUGAUAAGGAAGGCACGGAGAAGAACCAGCAGGAAAGGGAGAAACGACCAUAGCAAUUUUAAAGGUGAGGGGCAAUCCCAGAAGAAGGCAAGAAAUGCCCCUGGGGGGAGGGAGAGAGAAGGAACAGGAGUGUAUCUAACCACAUUCUUCCCAAAAUAAAAAUUAACAAGAAGAUAGAAGUGGCUCAGGAGAGGAAUCACAGGUAUUCACCCUCAUUAACCGGGAAAUCUCCCGCUGUGCUGGAUGCCUAAUUGGGAGGCUUAAGCAACUGGUAGGAUGAUUAUCAAGCUAGCUUGCCUCAUAGCUCAGGAUGAAAAGAAAAUAAUGUUUUCUCUUUACAAGUAUAGGUGGGGGUUAGAAGGCACUAAUUCCUAUUCCUACACGUGUUGCAAGGGCCAUCUCUUUUUCUCUUGCGACUGAUAAGGUGGAAUGAUGUUGAAAAGCACCUGCUUGGAAAGUUCAAAGGGUUUUCACAAUAGAAGAAAAGCGAAUCUGAACCAAAGCUGAUGGCUAGGAGGGAUGGCUGAAGGAAAACCUGGGAACUGCUGGGGAGGGAGCUUUUCAUAGGUGACACCUCCUUGUAUGCAAGAGAAGUUUACAGGUUGUCUCUCUUGCUAGUAAAUGGCCCGAGGGUCAAGUAUUUGUCCUGCCAAUUAUUUUCUUAAGUCCAUUAAGAAAUCCAGUGGGCUUUUUGCAGGUUUCAGCCUGAAAGCAGAAAAGGAAGAUAACUACCCCACAAACAGGAUUCACCAACAAGAGGCAACCCUUCCCAGGGCAUUUUUCUCCUGGUUCUGCAAGGAGCACACCUCCUCCUGGAAUAGCCGUGCGAUUGUUCAGAGCUCCGCAAACACGAGAGCCAGGGGGAAUGCUUCGCAGUGGGUGGGGUUGGUGAGACUUUUAACCCCCACUUCCAACAGUGCCUUCCCCAGGGGCAGGGAGCGCAGGUGCCGGUCCCAGGGCCAUC